AACGCGAAGAACCUUACCCAGGCUUGACAUACAGAGGACAGUUCCAGAAAUGGGAUCUCCCGCAAGGGUCUCUGAACAGGUGCUGCAUGGCUGUCGUCAGCUCGUGCCGUGAGGUGUUGGGUUAAGUCCCGCAACGAGCGCAACCCUUAUCAUUAGUUGCCAACACGUGAAGGUGGGAACUCUAAUGAGACUGCCCGGGUUAACCGGGAGGAAGGUGAGGAUGACGUCAAGUCCGCAUGGCCCUUAUGUCUGGGGCUACACACGUGCUACAAUGGUCGGUACAGAAGGCAGCGAAGCCGCGAGGUGAAGCAAAUCCCGAAAGCCGGCCUCAGUUCAGAUUGUAGUCUGCAACUCGACUACAUGAAGACGGAAUUGCUAGUAAUGGUAGGUCAGCAACACUACCGUGAAUACGUUCCCGGGCCUUGUACACACCGACUGUAC
RNAcentral lists this ribosomal RNA (441 nucleotides) under uncultured bacterium. RNAcentral's name for it is "bacterial SSU rRNA". It matches the Rfam family "Bacterial small subunit ribosomal RNA", at positions 958 to 1399 of the family's 1533-position model. The record is from RNAcentral.